AUUGAACGCUGGCGGCAGGCCUAACACAUGCAAGUCGGACGGUAGCACAGAGGAGCUUGCUCCUCGGGUGACGAGUGGCGGACGGGUGAGUAAUGUCUGGGGAUCUGCCCGAUAGAGGGGGAUAACCACUGGAAACGGUGGCUAAUACCGCAUAACGUCGCAAGACCAAAGAGGGGGACCUUCGGGCCUCUCACUAUCGGAUGAACCCAGAUGGGAUUAGCUAGUAGGCGGGGUAAUGGCCCACCUAGGCGACAAUCCCUAGCUGGUCUGAGAGGAUGAACCGCCACACUGGAACUGAGACACGGUCCAGACUCCUACGGGAGGCAGCAGUGGGGAAUAUUGCACAAUGGGCGAAAGCCUGAUGCAGCCAUGCCGCGUGUAUGAAGAAGGCCUUCGGGUUGUAAAGUACUUUCAGCGGGGAGGAAGGCGAUGUGGUUAAUAACCUUGUCGAUUGACGUUACCUGCAGAAGAAGCACCGGCUAACUCCGUGCCAGCCGCCGCAGUAA
RNAcentral lists this ribosomal RNA (506 nucleotides) under uncultured bacterium. Its description in RNAcentral is "partial 16S ribosomal RNA". It matches the Rfam family "Bacterial small subunit ribosomal RNA", at positions 30 to 523 of the family's 1533-position model. The record is from RNAcentral.